RNAcentral lists this ribosomal RNA (426 nucleotides) under uncultured bacterium. RNAcentral's name for it is "partial 16S ribosomal RNA". It matches the Rfam family "Bacterial small subunit ribosomal RNA", at positions 354 to 796 of the family's 1533-position model. The record is from RNAcentral.
GUGAGGAAUUUUCCGCAAUGGGCGAAAGCCUGACGGAGCAAUGCCGCGUGAAGGAUGAAGGCCUAUGGGUUGUAAACUUCUUUUCUCAGAAAAGAAUUAUGACGGUAUCUGAGGAAUAAGCAUCGGCUAACUCUGUGCCAGCAGCCGCGGUAAGACAGAGGAUGCAAGCGUUAUCCGGAAUGAUUGGGCGUAAAGCGUCUGUAGGUUGUUUAAAAAGUAUUCUGUCAAAGAUUAGGGCUUAACCCUAGAUAGGCAGAAUAAACUUUUAAGCUAGAGUUUGAUAGAGGCAGAGGGAAUUCCCGGUGGAGCGGUGAAAUGCGUAGAUAUCUGGAGGAACACCAAAGGCGAAGGCACUCUGCUGGGCCAAUACUAACACUGAGAGACGAAAGCGAGGGGAGCAAAUGGGAUUAGAAACCCGGGUAGUCC